This 308-nucleotide ribosomal RNA is filed under the name Stylocellus sp. Borneo 12. RNAcentral's name for it is "eukaryotic LSU rRNA". It matches the Rfam family "Eukaryotic large subunit ribosomal RNA", at positions 666 to 946 of the family's 3401-position model. Lineage: Eukaryota; Metazoa; Arthropoda; Arachnida; Opiliones; Stylocellidae. The record is from RNAcentral.
CCAAGGAGUCUAACAUGUGCGCGAGUCAUUGGGUCUUGCUCAGGCCCAAAGGCGCAAUGAAAGUGAAGGCCGGCCAGGUCGGCUGCGUUGGGAUCCCGCAUGUUUCUUGCGGGCGCACCAACGGCCCGUCCCGAUCGCCGCGUCGACGGGGCGGAGUGAGAGCGUACACGUUGGGACCCGAAAGAUGGUGAACUAUGCCUGGGCAGGACGAAGCCAGAGGAAACUCUGGUGGAGGUCCGCAGCGAUUCUGACGUGCAAAUCGAUCGUCAGACCUGGGUAUAGGGGCGAAAGACUAAUCGAACCAUCUA